GAAUGAAUGAGCUCCUCAAAUAAAUAAAGUGGCUGUGAGCGUGAGGAUCUGCGGCAAACUGUGCAGGACUGCUUCAUCUACAGAAAUCCAGGUAGCAGCCGUAAAUUAGCAGUAUGCAGAGAGUUUCCAGACGUGGGGGUUUGAUGCGACGGGAGGCUGAGGAGACGCCAGUCAAGACCGAACGCCCACGCAGAGGACGUCUAAUUAGACAUAUUUGAAGUGAGAACCUCUGUGUGGGAGGACGAAGGGUGUGGAGCAGCUGCGAAAAUCAAUCUUUCAAAUGAGACCAAGGCGCUGCAGUCGCUGCUGGGAAAGUUUGCAUUCAAAUGCAACAGAAAACUGGGUGUUGGAUAAAUGCUAAAACUGCAAUCAGAAACCUGAAGCAAAACUUCUCAUUUGCACCAGAAAAAAGUGGAAAACAUUAAACCAGAACCUGCAUCCCUAAACCAGAUACCUGUUCAUUGGUUCUUUGCAUGAGUUUGACACCUGAAUUCAGAAAAAUAAAGACACUAACUGGGAGUAAAAUGCUUCUUUAAAGUGAUGCCAUAGAAGAACCAUUUAAGGUGGUGUUUCUGCUAACAAUUCUGAAAAAAAAAAAAAGUGCCUUAAAGAUGCAUUAAAUAGCUUCCAUUUUCAAUCAGAUUAG
Molecule: long non-coding RNA, 646 nt
Organism: Amphiprion ocellaris (clown anemonefish)
Lineage: Eukaryota; Metazoa; Chordata; Actinopteri; Pomacentridae
Source: Ensembl